This 1511-nucleotide ribosomal RNA is filed under the name uncultured Legionella sp. RNAcentral describes it as "bacterial SSU rRNA". It matches the Rfam family "Bacterial small subunit ribosomal RNA". The record is from RNAcentral. Lineage: Bacteria; Pseudomonadati; Pseudomonadota; Gammaproteobacteria; Legionellales; Legionellaceae.
AGAGUUUGAUCCUGGCUCAGAUUGAACGCUAGCGGCAUGCUUAACACAUGCAAGUCGAACGGCAGCGCGGGGAGCUUGCUCCCUGGCGGCGAGUGGCGGACGGGUGAGUAACGCGUAGGAAUCUACCUUUAAGUGGGGGAUAACUCGAGGAAACUCGGGCUAAUACCGCAUAAUCUCUACGGAGUAAAGCGGGGGACCUUCGGGCCUCGUGCUUAAAGAUGAGCCUGCGUUGGAUUAGCUUGUUGGUGGGGUAAAGGCCUACCAAGGCGACGAUCUAUAGCUGGUCUGAGAGGAUGAUCAGCCACACUGGGACUGAGACACGGCCCAGACUCCUACGGGAGGCAGCAGUGGGGAAUAUUGGACAAUGGGGGCAACCCUGAUCCAGCAAUGCCGCGUGUGUGAAGAAGGCCUUCGGGUUGUAAAGCACUUUCAGUAGGGAAGAAAGACUCAAGAUUAAUACUCUUGAGAGUUGACGUUACCUACAGAAGAAGCACUGGCUAACUCUGUGCCAGCAGCCGCGGUAAUACAGAGAGUGCAAGCGUUAAUCGGAAUUACUGGGCGUAAAGCGCGCGUAGGUGGAUACUUAAGUCGGAUGUGAAAGCCCUGGGCUUAACCUAGGAACUGCAUCCGAUACUGGGUAUCUAGAGUAUGGUAGAGGGAAGUGGAAUUUCCGGUGUAGCGGUGAAAUGCGUAGAUAUCGGAAAGAACACCAGUGGCGAAGGCGGCUUCCUGGACCAAUACUGACACUGAGGUGCGAAAGCGUGGGGAGCAAACAGGAUUAGAGACCCUGGUAGUCCACGCCGUCAACGAUGAGAACUGGCUGUUGGGAGGGACUUCCUCUUAGUAGCGAAGCUAACGCGUUAAGUUCUCCGCCUGGGGAGUACGGCCGCAAGGCUAAAACUCAAAGGAAUUGACGGGGCCCGCACAAGCGGUGGAGCAUGGUGGUUUAUUCGAUGCAACGCGAGACCUUACCUACUCUUGACAUCUCGAUCCCUGAGAUGGGGAGUGCCUUCGGACGAUGACAGUGCUGCAUGCUGUCGUCAGCUCUGUCUGGAAUGUUUGGUUAGUCCGUUACGAGGCUACCUUGUCUAUGCCACACCCGUAACGAGCGCAAUCCUCGCCCUUAGUCGCCAGCACGUAAUGGUGGGAACUCUAAGGAGGCUGCCGGUGAUAAACCGGAGGAAGGUGGGGAUGAUCCCAAGCCAUCAUGGCCCUUACGAGUAGGGCUACCCAUGUGAUACAAUGGGCAGUACAAAGGGUUGCCAAGCCGCAAGGUGGAGCUAAUCCCAUAAAGCUGUUCGUAGUCCGGAUUGGAGUAUGCAACUCGACUCCAUGAAGUCGGAAUCGCUAGUAAUCGCGAAUCAGAAUGUCGCGGUGAAUACGUUCUCGGGCCUUGCACACACCGCCCGUCACAUCAUGGGAGUGAAUUGUACCAGAAGCGGGUAGGCUAACCUUCGGGAGGCCGCUCACCACGGUAUGGUUCAUGACUGGGAUGAAGUCGUAACAAGGUA